Molecule: non-coding RNA, 870 nt
Organism: Oncorhynchus kisutch (coho salmon)
Lineage: Eukaryota; Metazoa; Chordata; Actinopteri; Salmoniformes; Salmonidae
Source: the annotation of a RefSeq genome assembly
AUGUAUAACUGCUACCGUAACAGUGCCCCCACCCUCACCGUCCUGCCCCCCUCUAGCGAGGAGCUGUCCAGUAAAACAACAGCCACACUGACGUGUCUGGCCAACAAGGGCUUCCCCUCAGACUGGAUCAUGAGCUGGAAUGUGGACGGGACCAGCCAGAAGCAGGCCAAUCCCGGGAUCCUGGAGAAGGCCGGCCUGUACAGCUGGAGCAGCACCCUGACUCUCACUGCCCAGGAGUGGACCAAGGCAGGAGGUGUGACCUGUGAAGCCCAGCAGAAAUCCCAGACUCCAGUCACCAAGACCCUGAGGAAGGUUGACAGUUCUGGGUAGGACCCCUCAGUCACACACCCCUGUGGAGAGUUCCUCUGCUUUGACACCCCUGCUGAUUCCUCUGCUUUGACUCUGUUCUGAGUUCAGAUGUUCUCUGUCUUAUUGAUCACUGACAUGUAGACUAACAGUGAGCUUUUCUUGAGUUCAUGUGUCAUUCCUCUCUGUAGACUGAGGUUGUAUCUAUCAGGUAUGAAGAGAAGACCCAGAUGCAGACCACGUUGAAUAAACAAUAGUUCAAUGUUCCAACAGGGGCAGGCAGUAGACAGGUCAAUGCAGGCAGGGGUCAGAAAACCAGAGGUCGGCAACGGUACCGGAUAGCAGGCAGACUCAGGGUCUGGGUAAGGCAGAGGCAGGCGGGCUCAGAGUCAGGACAGGCAAGGGUCAAAACCAGGAGGGCAAGAAAAGAGAGACUAGAAACAGAUCAGGAUGUGACAGUAUCAGUGUGAGAUGUGAUGUGUUCUGUUUUAUUACUAUUAGAUACUACAGGAAUGUUUGCUUUGAUGCUUUGAUUAAUGGAUGAAAAUAAAGGUUUCCUUUUGG